Molecule: ribosomal RNA, 322 nt
Filed under: Kraken sp.
Lineage: Eukaryota; Cercozoa
Description: SSU rRNA
Rfam family: Eukaryotic small subunit ribosomal RNA (bases 110-322)
Source: RNAcentral
GAUUUCUGGUUUGAUAUGUCUGGCCCGCCACGGUUACGUGUGUGUGCGCCGGUACGUGUCGGCCAUCCUUCUGGAAAACGUGUCUACCCUUCACUGGGCCGGAUACGCGAUCCAGAUCUUUUACUUUGAAAAAAUUAGAGUGUUUAAAGCAGGCUUAUGCUGUGAAUACAUUAGCAUGGAAUAAUAAUCUAGGACUUUGGUUCUAUUUUGUUGGUUUCUAGGACUGAAGUAAUGAUUGAUAGGGAUAGUUGGGGGUGCUAGUAUUCCGCGGCCAGAGGUGAAAUUCUUGGAUUCGUGGAAGACUAACUACUGCGAAAGCAUU